AUGGGCUCUGCUCACCUUGCUGCCAUACUGCUCUGUGUCUGCAUUAUUGCCGGUGGUGCCAUAGCAGACAGCCAGAAUGGCACCAACGGCGUCCCGAGGCCGGCUGAGGUGCGCAUCGGUGCGCUCUUCACAUUUGAUUCGGUCAUCGGGAGGGCAGUGAAGCCGGCUAUCGAGCUCGCUGUUGCGGAUGUCAAUGCUGAUCCAACCGUACUCCCCGGGACAAAACUGAGUCUUCUUAUGCAGGACACCAAUUGCAGUGGCUUUGUUGGAACUAUUGAAGCAUUGCAGCUUCUGGCCAAGGAUGUCAUCGCUGUAUUAGGUCCACAAUCAUCCGCAAUUGCUCAUAUCAUUUCUCAUGCCGUUAACAAACUCCAAGUCCCACUUAUCUCUUUCGCAGCCUCCGAUCCUACCCUUUCUUCCCUUGAAUACCCUUACUUUGUGAGGGCUACACAAAGUGAUUACUACCAAAUGUCUGCUGUAGCUAGUAUCAUCAGUCAAUAUCAAUGGAGAGAGGUCAUCGCCAUCUAUGUUGAUGAUGACUAUGGUAGAGGCGGCAUCACAGCACUAGGUGAUGCCCUUGCAAAAAAGAUGUCCAAGAUAGCCUACAAAGCAAAAUUGCCACCUGGUGCUGGAAGGACUGCAAUCCAGGAUAUGCUGAUGCAAGUGAAUGAAAUGGAGUCCCGCGUCUAUGUUGUCCAUGUGAACCCUGACUCUGGGAUGACAGUUUUCUCUGCCGCAAAAUCUUUAGGGAUGAUGAGUAGCGGCUAUGUAUGGAUAGCAACAGACUGGCUUUCUUCAGUGAUAGAUUCAUCUGGGCAUGUUGAUUCUGAUGCGACAGAAAACACUCAGGGGGUUAUUACGCUUCGGCAACAUGUUGCUGACUCUGGCAUUCAGCAGUCCUUGCUGCCCAAACUGAACAAUCUGACUAGGAAAGAAAACCGUUCGAGCUUCAGUUCUUACACUGCACAUGCUUAUGACUCCGUAUGGUUAGUUGCUCAUGCAGUUGAGCAGUUCCUGAGUGCAGGGAAUGCAAUAUCUUUUUCUGUAAACCAAAAUUUGCAAGCUAUAAAAGGAAGUAGCCUUCAGUUAGAUUCUCUCAGAGUUCUCAACAAUGGAGAUAAAUUACUGGAGAAAGUGUUGCAGGCAAAUUUCACAGGGGUUUCAGGCCAAGUACAAUUUACUUUGGACAGGAAUUUGAUCCAUCCAGCUUAUGACAUCCUGAAUAUCGGUGGUACAGGUUUCAGAACCAUUGGGUAUUGGUCAAAUUUUUCUGGCCUCUCAGUUGCUGCUCCAGAAAACUUGCACUCAGUACCACUGAACUCUACAACCAAUGAUAUACAGCUCCAUGAUGUUAUCUGGCCUGGUCAGACUGCUGAGAAACCCCGUGGUUGGGUGUUUCCGUACCAUGGGAAGCUUCUAAGGAUUGGAGUGCCUCUGCGUACAAGCUACAAUGAGUUUGUGAUGCAAGAUGAUGGGCCUGAUGGGGUGAAGGGGUUUUCAGUUGAUGUUUUCAAAUCUGCAAUAAGCUUGUUGCCUUACCCCGUGGGAUGCACUUUUGUUUUAUUUGGAGAUGGACUGAAAAAUCCGAGCUACAGUGACCUUGUACAGAAGGUGUCCGAAAAUUACUUUGAUGCUGCCAUAGGGGACAUCUCUAUUGUGACAAAUAGAACAAGACUUGUUGAUUUUACCCAGCCAUAUACAGAAUCAGGUUUGCUCUUCCUCUUUGUGGGUACAGUUGUUUGGAUCCUGGAACACCGCACUAAUACUGAGUUCCGCGGAACCCCAAGGCAACAAAUUAUGACAGUAUGCUGGUUUAGCUUUUCAACCAUGUUUUUCGCACACAGAGAGAACACUUCUAGCGCACUUGGCAGAUUUGUGCUCCUUGUGUGGCUCUUUGUUGUGCUCAUUAUUAACUCAAGCUACACAGCAAGCUUGACAUCACUUCUCACAGUCCAAGAGCUAUCAUCAGGGGUAAAAGGUCUUGAUAGCUUGAUCUCUAGUUCAAGUGCAAUUGGUUAUCAAGUUGGAUCGUUUGCCAGAAAUUAUCUUGUGGAGGAGCUCAAUAUCGCCGAUUCCCGUCUGGUGCCACUAAACAGCCCAUCUGAUUAUGCAAGAGCACUAGAGCUAGGGUCAGGAAAUGGUGGUGUUGCAGCAAUAAUCGAUGAGCUACCAUACGUUGAGAUCUUCCUGUCAAAAUACUGUAAAUUCAAGACGGUUGGUCAGGUUUUCACAAAAAGCGGAUGGGGAUUUGCCUUUCCAAGAGAUUCCCCUCUUGCGGACGACUUGUCGACAGCAAUCCUGACACUAUCAGAGAACGGCGACCUCCAAAGGAUCCAUGAUGAAUGGUUAAGUGGGAUGAAAGGAUGUGAGUCAGAUGAUAGUGGGAUGAGCUCAAACUCCUUGAGCCUAUCAAGCUUCUGGGGCCUCUUUGUCGUGUGUGGCCUUGCAUGUGUCAUUGCUCUCCUGAUUUUCUUCUGGCGAAUAUUGUUUCAGUACAGCAAGUAUAAUAACCAGGUUGAGCUUGAAGCGGCAAUCGUGAACCGGCCAGCAAGGCUAACCAGCAUCAAAUCGCUAAUCUCUUUUGUUGACAAGAGGGAGGAGGAGGUGAAGAAUGCUCUCAAGAAAAAGCCUAAUGGCUCUCAGCAGGCAAGAAUCGGCAUUACAGAAGAACCAUCUACACUGCCGCUGUAA
This 2691-nucleotide ribosomal RNA is filed under the name Triticum aestivum (bread wheat). Its description in RNAcentral is "partial small subunit ribosomal RNA". The record is from RNAcentral. Lineage: Eukaryota; Viridiplantae; Streptophyta; Magnoliopsida; Poales; Poaceae.